Molecule: small nuclear RNA, 305 nt
Filed under: Echinops telfairi (small Madagascar hedgehog)
Lineage: Eukaryota; Metazoa; Chordata; Mammalia; Afrosoricida; Tenrecidae
Description: 7SK RNA (ENSETEG00000024164.1)
Rfam family: 7SK RNA
About the family: 7SK was discovered as an abundant small nuclear RNA in the mid-70s but a possible function has only recently been suggested. Two independent studies have found that 7SK RNA binds the CDK9/cyclin T complex (known as elongation factor P-TEFb).
Source: RNAcentral
GGAUGUGAGGGCGAUCUGGCUGCGACAUCUGUCACCCCAUUGAUUGCCAGUGUUGAUUCAUCUGAUCUGGCUAGCUAGGGGUGUCCCCUUCUUCCGUCACCGCUCCAUGUGCGCUCCGCUCCGUUGAAGAGGACGACCUUCCCCGAUAGAAGGAGGACCGUCCUUUGGUCAAGGGCAUGGGAGUAGCUGCACUGUCCUGCUGGAACCUCCAAACAAGUCUCCUAACAGAAAUAAGUAGGCGGAUAACGCAUUUUAUGAUAAUAGAAAUAACGAGAAGGAUUCCAAAAUGAAAAGUUUUUCUACCU